This 110-nucleotide small nucleolar RNA is filed under the name Oryza sativa (Asian cultivated rice). RNAcentral's name for it is "Z227 small nucleolar RNA". The record is from RNAcentral. Lineage: Eukaryota; Viridiplantae; Streptophyta; Magnoliopsida; Poales; Poaceae.
CGGGCAACAUGAUGACGAUGACGUCCUCGCUCUUCCGUCUCUGCUGCUCGUCGUUGCGGCACCCUCAGGCCUUAGGCCACCUCGCCGUCACUAUCCCCAUCUGAUGCUCG